AAUGACGUCAACAGUGACAGUAAACGUUACGGCGCAGAAGCUAGCCAACGCUAUGGAAAACAUAAUUCAUGAGAUGUCCGAGCCGGUGUUCCUGCAGACCCGCGCAGCGCAGGUCAUUGCGGGCAUUUUCGUGUGGAGCGCGCUCUUUAUCACUUGUCAACAGAUCUACCAGCACCUGCGCUGGUACACAAACCCGUCGGAGCAGCGUUGGAUCGUGCGCAUCCUGUUCAUCGUGCCGAUCUACGGCUGUUACAGCUGGAUCUCGCUGCUCUUCUUCAAUAGCGACUCGUAUUAUGUCUAUUUUUUCACCGUCAGGGAUUGCUAUGAAGCAUUCGUGAUCUACAGCUUCCUAUCGCUCUGUUAUGAGUACCUCGGCGGUGAAGGCAACAUAAUGUCUGAGCUACGUGGCCGGCCCGUGCGAGCUUCCUGUAUAAACGGCACUUGCUGCCUAUCCGGUGCCACUUACACGAUUGGUUUCCUGCGCUUCUGCAAACAAGCCACCCUUCAAUUCUGCCUCGUUAAGCCUGUUUGCGCGUUUGUUAUCAUCUUUUUGCAGUCGGCGAACUUGUACAGCGACGGUGACUGGUCCCCGCAUGGCGGCUAUCUCUACAUCACGAUUGUGUACAACUUCUCCGUGAGCUUGGCCCUGUACGGCCUCUUCAUGUUCCUCGGCGCCACAAGGGAGAUGCUCAAGCCUUUUGACCCGGUGCUCAAGUUCUUUACCGUCAAAUCCGUAAUUUUCCUCUCGUUCUGGCAAGGUGUAGCCCUAGCCAUCCUAGAGAAGGCCGAAGUUAUAUCGCCAAUCAUAAUCGACGGUCAGCCGACCACCGCUGGUACAGUCUCUGCUGGCUAUCAGAACUUCUUGAUCUGCAUUGAAAUGCUGGCUGCAGCAGUCGCGCUGCGUUAUGCCUUCCCUGCUAGCGUCUAUGCGCAUGCACACCGUGAUCCACACCGCUCUGUUACAAUGCAGUCCAUCUCUUCCAGCCUUAAGGAGACAAUGAAUCCCAAGGACAUUAUGACGGACGCGUUCCACAAUUUCCACCCGCAGUACCAGCAGUACACUCAGUACAGCUCCGAUGUAACUUCUCACCUGCCUUACGAAAAACUAUAAGCUCUGCCAUAGCCGUGCUCUGCAUGACGCAUUGCUGUUCGUUGUAUUACAUAAUACCAUCCACAUUCGUAAAUGAUUGUGGGUGACCUGUCAAUAUACAUAGAGAACAUAUGUAGAGAUUCUAUGAAUUUUGACACUAACUUACAGUUGUUUGCGGAUAAGACAAUAAGUUUACCGAGCAUGGAAACAUCACUAACUUUUGUACAGCUAAUUCAUGUGUUAUGCCUGACGAUAAAUCUCAUUCGUAAUAUCCAAAGCUGUAUGAAAACAUUUUACAUUGUCUUGCCAAUUUGCGAAUUAACCGGAAUCGAACUUUGUAUUCGAAGUGCUGAUUAGGUGUUAUCAAAAUUAAUGAAAACUGCAAUAGGUAAUUGUACACAGUCAUAUAUUUGCUCUUUUAAAUUUCGUCUAUUCAUGUGAAAGAAACAAUUAAAAUGAAAGAAUCCGUUAGACAAGAGAAAUUAAGAGACUUUUUGUUAGCCAUAACACUUUUAACGGAAAUAAUCUUAAAAUUGAGAUAUAUAUUUUUUAGACAUUCACACCUUUUCAAUAUUUUUCGUAAACAAAUAGAUUUUGCCGUUUUGUCAUUAAUUUUAUCGAGAAGAAUUCAGUUGUUUCGGUGCUCGGCCCUAUUCUAUUCUUAUUUAAGAUGUUUAAGUAAAUAUUAUUUUUUAUAAUUUUGUAAUAAUUAUCCGGUACUUGACUAGUCCGAAACAAAUAACACAUACAUUACAGUCGCCUUGUUGGUUAAAUAUUCUCUAUUUGACACUGCAAUACACGUUUUGUACACAAGUGUUUAAUAAUGUUCAAACCAAUGCGAUGUUCUUUUUUUAAUUCGAAUAAUAAAAAUAAGAGAUAGAACUAAAAAGAUAGAA
Hyposmocoma kahamanoa is the source of this 1986-nucleotide RNA transcript. It is a transcript of the gene named transmembrane protein 184B, with no coding region annotated. The transcript is spliced from 8 exons. Lineage: Eukaryota; Metazoa; Arthropoda; Insecta; Lepidoptera; Cosmopterigidae. The record is from RefSeq and is a predicted model, not a curated record.